GGUGUUGUCUUGGGCGUAUACCCAGGAGUGGAUUCCUCGGAUCACAGGGCAUACUCAGGUUUAGCUUUAGUAGUUACCCGGUAGACAUAGAUUUCAUUGUGAAUAAUUAACUGGCUGGUGAAUCAUUCCACUGGACCCUCAUGGCUCCUGGGUAAAUGAAAAGUUCAGCUUCUGGAAGCCUCAGGACUGAGAAUCAUCCGUUUAUUACAAUCCUUGCACCCCUGGGGUGGCAGGCACAAGCUUGCUGCAGGAGGUGGUCUACUUGGUGAGCCAGGGGGCCGACCCCGACGAGAUCGGCUUGAUGAACAUCGACGAGCAGCUCCCGGUCUUGGAGUACCCGCAGCCGGGCCUGGACGUCAUCAAGGAGCUGACGUCUCCCCGUCUCAUCAAAAGCCACCUGCCCUACCGCUUCCUGCCCUCCGACCUCCACAACGGUGAUUCCAAGGUCAUAUACAUGGCUCGGAACCCCAAGGACCUGGUGGUGUCCUAUUACCAGUUCCACCGCUCCCUGCGGACCAUGAGCUACCGAGGCACUUUCCAGGAGUUCUGCCGGAGGUUCAUGAAUGAUAAACUGGGCUACGGCUCCUGGUUCGAGCACGUGCAGGAGUUCUGGGAGCACCGCAUGGACUCGAAUGUGCUUUUCCUCAAGUACGAAGACAUGCAUCGGGACCUGGUGACGAUGGUGGAGCAGCUGGCCAGGUUCCUCGGGGUGUCCUGCGACAAGGCCCAGCUGGAGUCCCUGAUCGAGCACUGCCACCAGCUGGUGGACCAGUGCUGCAACGCCGAGGCUCUGCCUGUGGGCCGGGUUUUGUUUUCUCUGUCUUUUGUUGUCCUCGGAUGUGAGCUUCUCCCCGACACCCCUGCGGUUCGUUUGUGUGGUAAGGGGCGUCCUGAGCGUCCUGCGGUAGCGCCGUGGGCUCCUUCUGACGUGUCUGCUUUAUCAUUGUUUCUCUUGGUUUCGCUUCAUUUCAGUUUCGGUUUUGUUUUCUUUUAGCACAUUGCCUCUUUGCUCAGAAGACCUCCUUGCGUUGGUGAGGAUGCAGGGGCUUGAGUAGCCAGCUGCAUUGCUUAAAUUUGAUUCAUGUCCCAGCAUAAAUUGCACUGUCUUGAUUCCAAAUCCUAAACCAGGUGGGUGACUCCUUUGAUGAGCUCUCAGCUGCCUCAGCUGAGAAAAAUAAUCAUGAAAAAAUAUAUUUAUAGUGUGCUUGGUCUAGAAGCUUCUAAUUUUGUCCCUUAAGUAUCAUUAGAGGGUAGCAAGAACAAUUCUCCUUGUUUUUUUUUUCUCUCCAACACUGACAUAUAAUUUUUCAUUAUCAAAGAGGAAAUCCUUGCGCUGGGUGUAUCAGCGCAGCACUCGCAGGGUGGUAAUUUUAUACCUGAGGUCCUGCCAGGACAAGGACGACUGUUACUAACGGAGCAGUGAAGGGUGUUUGCUGGAGACGGUCGGAGCUCUGGUCGCAGAGAUGCUGACGGUGAAAAGAAUCCUAAAUGAGCAUUUCAGCGCCCCAGGUGGUUCCUGAAAACCUCGGGCAGCCCUCGGGGGGACGUGUUCACAGCUCCCGCAGGUGGGAGAGCAGAAGCCUGCUGCUGCCUCUUCAUGGUCGCCACUUGUGUUUGACCAGACUGGCUGAAGGUUUUGUAGUUAACGAGGAAAGAGGGCUCAGUGGCUUUUGGGGUCAUUUUGAGCGCCCUCUUUUUCCCUGAGCCUUCGUAAGUGAACGGUGGACCUGUGCCUGCACAUUAGCCUGCAGGCUCCGUGCUCCUUCACUUCUGCCAGGAAGGGUCUCAUUUUCUGACCAAGCCUCCCUGUGCUGUCACUGUGCCAGCAGCGGGGAUCACCCGUGACUUGCGUCGGUGUGCAGUCCCGGAGUCCUGCCACGGCCACGUUGGGCAUCUGGUCGUGAAGGCUCCUUUACACCGUGACCAUUUUAUUCCCUUUAACUUUCUCCCCAUGUUGCAUGGGCAGGCUUCCCGAAAUCUUCGCCCUGGACCUGCUCAGGAGGCUUCCUACUCGCCAUAAAAUGUUCUGCCUUUUUGGCUGAUUUUUUUUCCUUUUUGAAUUCUCCAGAAGCAAAUGCCGCCUUGGUGGAGCUGUUGCGCUGUGAGUGAGUGGUGGUGUCCCAGAGGACCCAGAUCCACAUGAUGCUCAGAGCCAUAGACCCGUUGCCCAGACGCUGUCUGUCCUCCGGGCCUGUGAGCCACCCGCUGUGUGCCUUGUGCUGGGGACUCAGCCGUGCCCCAGAGUUUGUCCCGCGUGGGACAAGGGGUGAAGGCCCUCCUCGCGGCCUCAGCUCUGUGCAUUCGUGGUGCUGGCCUCACCACGCAGGAAAGGGCAUGAGGACAGCUCGACUCAGGAAGCGGGUUCAGCUCGUCUAGGAAGAGUGGGGCUGUGGAAGGACAUCUUCACCGUCUCCAUGAACGAGAAGUUUGACCUGGUGUAUAAACAGAAGAUGGGGAAGUGCGACCUCAUGUUUGACUUCUAUUUAUAAUGACGCCAACAGCGAACCUGC
This is an RNA transcript of Equus quagga, 2510 nucleotides long. It is a transcript of the gene named sulfotransferase family 4A member 1, with no coding region annotated. The transcript is spliced from 8 exons. The record is from RefSeq and is a predicted model, not a curated record. NCBI's taxonomy places the organism in Eukaryota, Metazoa, Chordata, Mammalia, Perissodactyla, Equidae.